This is a non-coding RNA of Myotis davidii, 75 nucleotides long. The record is from Rfam. Lineage: Eukaryota; Metazoa; Chordata; Mammalia; Chiroptera; Vespertilionidae.
GGCUGGUUCUUGGGUGACAUACCCCGGAAUCGGGCUCCUCCUCUCUGGUUCCAGGUGCAUCACCCAAGAACCGCC